UACGUAGGGUGCAAGCGUUAAUCGGAAUUACUGGGCGUAAAGCGUGCGCAGGCGGUUUUGUAAGUCUGUCGUGAAAGCCCCGGGCUCAACCUGGGAACAGCGCUUGAGACUGGCACGCUCGAGUUCGGGAGAGGAUGGUGGAAUUCCCAGUGUAGAGGUGAAAUUCGUAGAUAUUGGGAAGAACACCGAUGGCGAAGGCAGCCAUCUGGACCGACACUGACGCUGAGGCGCGAAAGCGUGGGGAGCAAACAGG
Molecule: ribosomal RNA, 253 nt
Filed under: uncultured bacterium
Lineage: Bacteria
Description: partial 16S ribosomal RNA
Rfam family: Bacterial small subunit ribosomal RNA
Source: RNAcentral